Molecule: long non-coding RNA, 1393 nt
Organism: Canis lupus familiaris (dog)
Lineage: Eukaryota; Metazoa; Chordata; Mammalia; Carnivora; Canidae
Exons: 4
Source: RefSeq, a predicted model, not a curated record
CGGAGGGCGCGGGGCCCCGCCCCUCCCCCUCUGCGCCAGCCCGGCCGCGGGCCCGUCGGGAGGCCACUCACCAUGUUCACUUCGGAGACCAUGUCUAUGCUGGCGACAUCGAUCCGCAUGCCCACGUCCACAGGGGGCCCUGCGGGGAGGGAAGGAGACCUAGAUCCGUACGGGUUACAGGUUGAAAAAAAGCUGAAGCGUUACCUCCGAAGUCCGGCCGCAAGCGGAUGUCGUAUCCCUUGAGCAGUCUGUCCACCGUCUCUUUCACGUAGGACAUGUUGCUGGGCUCGUUGGCGCUGAAGGGGGAAGCGGGGACCGUGUUGAGCACGAGCGCUAAGUGCGAGCACGGAGAUGGAGACGGGCACCCUGACCCCACAGCCCAGCUCCAUGAUCCAGCAGGCAUGCAAGCAGGAACACACCGAGGGGGGAAAGAGAGAGAGAGAGAGAGAGAGAGAGAGAGAGACGUUCAACAACAGCAGCUCACCUGUGUGCACAACAGACCAUGGCAAUCAUCACAGGGAAAGAGAGGAGCCCCAGACUCUCUCGGCUGUGUGCUGUCCACAUUACUAACUCUGAUCCAAGAAUGGUCUUUUCUGCGAAGAUUCAAGGAAUGCAACUUAGUCGGCGGCAGGGCAGUAAUCCCCGAAUGGACCUGCGCAUGCGCACGCGGGGCUCACUACCAAAAAAGACACCUUGCGCCUUGCAAACAGUAUUCCUAGUGGAACAGGCAACAGAUUUCAAUCCCCUUAAAGUUCCUGUUGGUGGUGUUCCACGUCCUCCGAGUGGUCGGAGAUCGCCUGUUCCUUCCCUGCUGCGGAUCCUGGACGCAUUUGCCUGCUGAGGUUUCUUUGAGCAUUAGAGGCACGCGAUUUAAGGGAAGCAAGCGAUGAGGCAGCAGCUCUGGGCAGGCAACCCUUUUUCUAGUGCCAUCUGCCGCAAGUCCCACUUUUUUUUCCCCCUAGGUUUUGAGAGAGAGAAAGAGCAUGAGCAAGCAGGAGGACAAGCAGAGGGAGAGGGAACAGAAGCAGACUCUGCACGGAGAAAGGAGCCCCACAGGGGUAUGGGGCUCCAUCCCACAACCCUGAGAUCAUGACCUGAGCCAAGACCAAAAGUUGAAUGCUUAACACACUGAGCCACACAGGCACCCCCCCCCCAAAUGUCUUUUUUAUUUUGUGUUUUUCAGCUCUUCUUAUUCAAAUAUUAUGAUGUGGACUUUGAGGACAAAAUUUAUGUCAUGUCAUAGAUCCAAGUUAUAUCAUGUCAUAACUAUAGAUCAUGUCAUAGAUCCAACAUUUCUACCUCUUUUUUAAACUCAUAUUUAAUUAAACUUCAUGCUGUAACAACUUUGUAAAUUAUCUUAAAUAAAAAAAGUAAAUUUAUGUUUUAUUCUUUA